RNAcentral lists this transfer RNA (81 nucleotides) under Bacillus anthracis (anthrax bacterium). RNAcentral's name for it is "tRNA-OTHER". It matches the Rfam family "tRNA". From Rfam's summary of the family: Transfer RNA (tRNA) molecules are approximately 80 nucleotides in length. Their secondary structure includes four short double-helical elements and three loops (D, anti-codon, and T loops). The record is from RNAcentral. Lineage: Bacteria; Bacillati; Bacillota; Bacilli; Caryophanales; Bacillaceae.
GGGGGAAUAGCUUAACGGAAAAGCAUUGCGUGUACAGUUAAAUAAAAGCAAAGACUAGGGGUUCGAAUCCCCUUUCCCUCG